Oreochromis niloticus (Nile tilapia) is the source of this 2558-nucleotide long non-coding RNA. RefSeq lists it as uncharacterized. The transcript has 3 exons. The record is from RefSeq and is a predicted model, not a curated record. Lineage: Eukaryota; Metazoa; Chordata; Actinopteri; Cichliformes; Cichlidae.
AUAUAUAGUCAGUGGCUUGGAAAAGAAAGGUAGGGGAAUUUUUGUCACAUUGCAUGCAGACUGGUUGAGCUCAUAAUCAAAGGAGCUUCUUUUCCGUUCAGUUAUAGCAGUUUCAUUUUAAACCUUACCACAGUUACUGCUUCUCUCGCUCAAAUCACAUAAAAUGCUUCCAGUGCUACACAUGAAGACUACAACUCAUUCUGUCUGGUCUCUCACAGUGUGUGGCCCAUUUUUUUAUUUUUAUUUUUUAAAGCAUAUCAUAUUCACUCUCAUGCUGCCUCAGGGAAGUGGAUUGAAACUUUUGUGAGACUGACGUAUAAACUUGGAAGUAAAGCCAGAGUCCUGCCUGAAGUGCUGCCCUGUUUGUGUGGAUGUAGAGAGGCUGAAAUCAGGCACUGGAGGGGCUGCUGCUGUUCUGCUGUGUGGGAAGGGGAAAUUCAGGUAUGCUACUGUGUGAAUCAUCAGCUUUACACUGAGAGAUACCAUCGCUGUUCAGAUCUGUGAUGCUGCAACGACAGCUGAUGAUACAUCACUCAUCACACGUCUUAUGGAAUCCAGGCUAACCUUGAAAUAAUGCAAAGAAAAAAGGCUUCAGAAUAAAUCCAGCAGAGCAUGCAAAAUAUCAUGCACUGCAAGAAAAAAGAAGAGGAUUCAUUGCAUGUCACAUUAUACCCCGCAGUCUUGUUACUUUGGAGCAACGCAGAAAGAUCAAACUCAUAAAUAUUGUCUCUUCUGGGACUGAUGAAAAGCAUACAGCCAAUUAAAAUCCAGCUUAGUACUACUGGUUCUUCCCCUUCUCCCAUCUCACUUUUACCCCCUUCUUGUUCUGUCUGUCAUUCUGUGCAAGGUACAGCCUAGUUUGCAGAACUAGGUUGCAAAGGCAUGUACUGUAUAUUUUUAAUGAUGAGGACCCAGGCAGGCUUGUCACCCAAAGUCGUGCUUUCAUGCAUACCAAUUCUGUUUCACAGCAUCGUCGUCCUCUUUUAUUUAAAUAAACACUUCACUGGCAUGCCCUCAUCUAUCUGUUUUCUGUUUAUAACUUUGACUUUUAGAUUUUUUUGGGUUAGGCUGGCAUGUCUUUACUGCUUCCUGGAAACAUUGAUGAUGGCAGAAUAGGACAUGAAGCGUAAGAAAUCUGCCAUCCGCACUGUUGUACCUUGCUUUGAAAGGUGUAUGGGGAAAGCGGGAGCUGACAUGUUGCUGUCAGUGACACAAAGUGAUGUCUUUGCAGAUCAGCCCCACAGUCACGCUCAUGUUGUGACCGCUCAGGUUUGAAUGUUUAAACACAGGGAAUCGCUGACAAAAAGGCUAUUUGAACAUUGGCUGAACAUAAGUCGGAGUUAUAAAAAGCAGCAUGGCAUCGGGGCAAGUGAGGAAACCCAAAUCGAAUCCUGUGCACAGCCAUAACCGUCUUUUUUCUUCUUUUUUGUGGAUUUGUCUCUCCUGUGCCCGUGCAGAUUAGCUGGGCUGGUUUUGGCUACAAAAACAUCUGUGACCUAAAUUCGACGUGUUUCACCAAAAAGAAUGAAGAGUUGAAGUCCAAGAAGUUAGUUGGGUAGAAAGCCUUCACCUCUAGUUGUUUUGUUUUUCUCUUUGAGGAACAGAUAUCUGAAGCGAAAUCUAUUUUUAAAGUCUCUUCUGGUAUUUGAACAACGCACAAAAGUUUAAUUUCCUGGAGUGAUCUUUGUCCUACUCAAAGUGUGUUAUUCUGAGAUAAACAUCACAAACCUCCAAAUUCUGCAGAAAUUGUCUAGCUGACUUUCACUCACGCACACACACACACACACACCUACACACACACACACACACACACACACACACACACACACACACACAAAGCAAAGCUCAAUUCAGCAUGCUGCUGAUAUUGCUUCCUGAAGACUGAACACAGCCCAUUAAGUUCCAUUAAAUGAGUGCAAAAUCAAAUGCAAUUCAGCGUUGUUUAUUUUGCAAUCCGUAAUUGAAUUGUGCAACAACAGCAUGAAUUAACACUAAAAAUUCCGAAAAGCUAUCAGUGUUUAAAUGAAGCAAUCACAUAACCCUUAUUUUAAGGGUUGUUUUUCUGUAAGUGAAAGCACCUUGGUUCAGGUUUUUAAAAAGCCAGCAUAGUCAAAGUUAAAGAGAAGCUACUGGAUAUACUUUCCUCCUUCACACACACUGAUUGGGGUGGAAAAGUUAUUUUAUUUUCCUUGGUGAAAUCACGUAUUUGCUUUUAUAAAAUAGCAUUCUUUAUUUCAAGAACUUCAGAAUGGCUGGUUCAGUCUUGCCUUGACAUUUUACAGAAUAAUCUUAUUUUCUGUGGAAAAUGAAUAUACCUCGGCUGGCCACUGGUGCAAAAAUCCAUGAGCUGUCAUUAGUUACAGCAUGCUGCUGGUACAGCAUGAGGCUCUGAAAUUUAGUUGGUGAGGGAAACAUUUUCAUCUUGUCUAUUCUUAUAUAAUUUGUACAACUGUCUUUCUGGGAAUGUUGGUAUGCUUUGUACAAAUGAAAACACCAGAGGUGGGACCAAGUCAAUGUUUUGCAAGUCUCAAGUAAGUCUCAAGUCUUUAUCCUCAAGU